AGAGUUUGAUCAUGGCUCAGGACGAACGCUGGCGGCGUGCUUAACACAUGCAAGUCGAACGGAAAGGCCCUGCUUGCAGGGUACUCGAGUGGCGAACGGGUGAGUAACACGUGGGUGAUCUGCCCUGCACUUCGGGAUAAGCCUGGGAAACUGGGUCUAAUACCGGAUAGGAGCCAUUUUUAGUGUGAUGGUUGGAAAGUUUUUUCGGUGUAGGAUGAGCUCGCGGCCUAUCAGCUUGUUGGUGGGGUAAUGGCCUACCAAGGCGGCGACGGGUAGCCGGCCUGAGAGGGUGGACGGCCACAUUGGGACUGAGAUACGGCCCAGACUCCUACGGGAGGCAGCAGUGGGGGAUAUUGCACAAUGGGCGCAAGCCUGAUGCAGCGACGCCGCGUGGGGGAUGACGGCCUUCGGGUUGUAAACUCCUUUCGCUAGGGACGAAGCUUUUUGUGACGGUACCUAGAUAAGAAGCACCGGCUAACUACGUGCCAGCAGCCGCGGUAAUACGUAGGGUGCGAGCGUUGUCCGGAAUUACUGGGCGUAAAGGGCUCGUAGGUGGUUUGUCGCGUCGUCUGUGAAAUUCCGGGGCUUAACUCCGGGCGUGCAGGCGAUACGGGCAUAACUUGAGUACUGUAGGGGUAACUGGAAUUCCUGGUGUAGCGGUGAAAUGCGCAGAUAUCAGGAGGAACACCGAUGGCGAAGGCAGGUUACUGGGCAGUUACUGACGCUGAGGAGCGAAAGCAUGGGUAGCGAACAGGAUUAGAUACCCCGGUAGUCC
This 775-nucleotide ribosomal RNA is filed under the name uncultured bacterium. RNAcentral's name for it is "bacterial SSU rRNA". It matches the Rfam family "Bacterial small subunit ribosomal RNA", at positions 8 to 796 of the family's 1533-position model. The record is from RNAcentral.